GUCCCAGUAGCACAAUGGACAGCGCGUUGGACUUCUAAUCCAAAGAUCGUCGGUGGGAUCUUUGGGGACAAAUCUGGGAUG
Molecule: non-coding RNA, 81 nt
Organism: Trichonephila clavipes
Lineage: Eukaryota; Metazoa; Arthropoda; Arachnida; Araneae; Nephilidae
Source: the annotation of a GenBank genome assembly